ACAGGCUUAACACAUGCAAGUCGAGGGGCAGCAUGGUCUUAGCUUGCUAAGGCCGAUGGCGACCGGCGCACGGGUGAGUAACACGUAUCCAACCUGCCGUCUACUCUUGGACAGCCUUCUGAAAGGAAGAUUAAUACAAGAUGGCAUCAUGAGUCCGCAUGUUCACAUGAUUAAAGGUAUUCCGGUAGACGAUGGGGAUGCGUUCCAUUAGAUAGUAGGCGGGGUAACGGCCCACCUAGUCUUCGAUGGAUAGGGGUUCUGAGAGGAAGGUCCCCCACAUUGGAACUGAGACACGGUCCAAACUCCUACGGGAGGCAGCAGUGAGGAAUAUUGGUCAAUGGGCGAGAGCCUGAACCAGCCAAGUAGCGUGAAGGAUGACUGCCCUAUGGGUUGUAAACUUCUUUUAUAAAGGAAUAAAGUCGGGUAUGCAUACCCGUUUGCAUGUACUUUAUGAAUAAGGAUCGGCUAACUCCGUGCCAGCAGCCGCGGUAAUACGGAGGAUCCGAGCGUUAUCCGGAUUUAUUGGGUUUAAAGGGAGCGUAGAUGGAUGUUUAAGUCAGUUGUGAAAGUUUGCGGCUCAACCGUAAAAUUGCAGUUGAUACUGGAUAUCUUGAGUGCAGUUGAGGCAGGCGGAAUUCGUGGUGUAGCGGUGAAAUGCUUAGAUAUCACGAAGAACUCCGAUUGCGAAGGCAGCCUGCUAAGCUGCAACUGACAUUGAGGCUCGAAAGUGUGGGUAUCAAACAGGAUUAGAUACCCUGGUAGUCCACACGGUAAACGAUGAAUACUCGCUGUUUGCGAUAUACAGCAAGCGGCCAAGCGAAAGCGUUAAGUAUUCCACCUGGGGAGUACGCCGGCAACGGUGAAACUCAAAGGAAUUGACGGGGGCCCGCACAAGCGGAGGAACAUGUGGUUUAAUUCGAUGAUACGCGAGGAACCUUACCCGGGCUUAAAUUGCAGAUGAAUUACGGUGAAAGCCGUAAGCCGCAAGGCAUCUGUGAAGGUGCUGCAUGGUUGUCGUCAGCUCGUGCCGUGAGGUGUCGGCUUAAGUGCCAUAACGAGCGCAACCCUUGUUGUCAGUUACUAACAGGUUCUGCUGAGGACUCUGACAAGACUGCCAUCGUAAGAUGUGAGGAAGGUGGGGAUGACGUCAAAUCAGCACGGCCCUUACGUCCGGGGCUACACACGUGUUACAAUGGGGGGUACAGAGGGCCGCUACCACGCGAGUGGAUGCCAAUCCCAAAAACCUCUCUCAGUUCGGACUGGAGUCUGCAACCCGACUCCACGAAGCUGGAUUCGCUAGUAAUCGCGCAUCAGCCACGGCGCGGUGAAUACGUUCCCGGGCCUUGUACAC
This 1351-nucleotide ribosomal RNA is filed under the name uncultured bacterium. RNAcentral's name for it is "bacterial SSU rRNA". It matches the Rfam family "Bacterial small subunit ribosomal RNA", at positions 42 to 1388 of the family's 1533-position model. The record is from RNAcentral.